This 466-nucleotide ribosomal RNA is filed under the name uncultured bacterium. RNAcentral describes it as "partial 16S ribosomal RNA". It matches the Rfam family "Bacterial small subunit ribosomal RNA", at positions 338 to 795 of the family's 1533-position model. The record is from RNAcentral.
CCUACGGGUGGCAGCAGUGGGGAAUAUUGCGCAAUGGGCGAAAGCCUGACGCAGCGACGCCGCGUGAGGGAUGAAGGUCUUCGGAUCGUAAACCUCUGUCAGCAGGGAAGAACGAUCACUGUGCUAAUCAGCAGUGAGUUGACGGUACCUGCAAAGGAAGCACCGGCUAACUCCGUGCCAGCAGCCGCGGUAAUACGGAGGGUGCGAGCGUUAAUCGGGAUUACUGGGCGGAAAGCGCUCGUAGGCGGGAUGUGAAGUCAAGGGGGAAAUCCCAGGGGUGAACGUGGGAACUGCCUUUGAAACUGGCAAACUGGAGAGUGUGAGAGGAUAGUGGAAUUACAGGGGUAGGAGUGAAAUCCGUAGAUAUCUGGAGGAACAUCAGUGGCGAAGGCGACUAUCUGGCACAUAACUGACGCUGAGGAGCGAAAGCGUGGGUAGCAAACAGGAUUAGAUACCCCGGGUAGUC